Molecule: ribosomal RNA, 253 nt
Filed under: uncultured Lachnospiraceae bacterium
Lineage: Bacteria; Bacillati; Bacillota; Clostridia; Lachnospirales; Lachnospiraceae
Description: partial 16S ribosomal RNA
Rfam family: Bacterial small subunit ribosomal RNA
Source: RNAcentral
UACGUAUGGGGCAAGCGAUAUCCGGAUUUACUGGGUGUAAAGGGAGCGUAGGCGGCCUGGCAAGCCUGAUGUGAAAUACCGGGGCCCAACCCCGGGGCUGCAUUGGGAACUGCCAGGCUGGAGUGCCGGAGAGGCAGGCGGAAUUCCUAGUGUAGCGGUGAAAUGCGUAGAUAUAUGGAAGAACACCAGUGGCGAAGGCGGCUCUCUGGUCUGUAACUGACGCUGAGGCUCGAAAGCGUGGGUAUCGAACAGG